Molecule: ribosomal RNA, 493 nt
Filed under: uncultured bacterium
Lineage: Bacteria
Description: partial 16S ribosomal RNA
Rfam family: Bacterial small subunit ribosomal RNA
Source: RNAcentral
CGAACGCUGGCGGCGUGCCUAAUACAUGCACGUAGAACGCUGAAGGAGGAGCUUGCUUCUCUGGAUGAGUUGCGAACGGGUGAGUAACGCGUAGGUAACCUGCCUGGUAGCGGGGGAUAACUAUUGGAAACGAUAGCUAAUACCGCAUAAGAGUAGAUGUUGCAUGACAUUUGCUUAAAAGGUGCAAUUGCAUCACUACCAGAUGGACCUGCGUUGUAUUAGCUAGUUGGUGGGGUAACGGCUUACCAAGGCGACGAUACAUAGCCGACCUGAGAGGGUGAUCGGCCACACUGGGACGGAGACACGGCCCAGACUCCUACGGGAGGCAGCAGUAGGGAAUCUUCGGCAAUGGACGGAAGUCUGACCGAGCAACGCCGCGGGAGUGAAGAAGGUUUUCGGAUCGUAAAGCUCGGUUGUAAGAGAAGAACGAGUGUGAGAGUGGAAAGUUCACACUGUGACGGUAUCUUACCAGAAAGGGACGGCUAACUACGUG